UACGUAGGGUGCGAGCGUUGUCCGGAAUUAUUGGGCGUAAAGGGCUCGUAGGCGGUCUGUUGCGUCAGGAGUGAAAACUCGGGGCUUAACCCCGAGCCUGCUUCUGAUACGGGCAGACUAGAGGUAUGCAGGGGAGAACGGAAUUCCUGGUGUAGCGGUGAAAUGCGUAGAUAUCAGGAGGAACACCGGUGGCGAAGGCGCACAUCUGGCCCAAUACUGACGCUGAGGCGCGAAAGCUAGGGGAGCAAACGGG
Molecule: ribosomal RNA, 253 nt
Filed under: uncultured bacterium
Lineage: Bacteria
Description: partial 16S ribosomal RNA
Rfam family: Bacterial small subunit ribosomal RNA
Source: RNAcentral